This 92-nucleotide transfer RNA is filed under the name Tepidimonas sediminis. Its description in RNAcentral is "tRNA-Phe". Lineage: Bacteria; Pseudomonadati; Pseudomonadota; Betaproteobacteria; Burkholderiales. The record is from RNAcentral.
GGGCGUCAUCGUCCAGUACGGCGGGCAGACGCCGCUGAAGCUGGCGCUGGGGCUGGAGCGCGCCGGCGUGCCGAUCAUCGGCACGACGCCCG